This 473-nucleotide ribosomal RNA is filed under the name uncultured Actinomycetes bacterium. RNAcentral describes it as "bacterial SSU rRNA". It matches the Rfam family "Bacterial small subunit ribosomal RNA", at positions 28 to 504 of the family's 1533-position model. Lineage: Bacteria; Bacillati; Actinomycetota; Actinomycetes. The record is from RNAcentral.
GACGAACGCUGGCGGCGUGCUUAACACAUGCAAGUCGAGCGGUAAGGCCCUUCGGGGUACACGAGCGGCGAACGGGUGAGUAACACGUGAGUAACCUGCCCCUGACUCUGGGAUAAGCCGGGGAAACCCGGUCUAAUACCGGAUAUGACAUUCUCUCGCAUGGGAGGGUGUGGAAAGUUUUUUCGGUCAGGGAUGGACUCGCGGCCUAUCAGCUUGUUGGUGGGGUGAUGGCCUACCAAGGCGAUGACGGGUAGCCGGCCUGAGAGGGCGACCGGCCACACUGGGACUGAGACACGGCCCAGACUCCUGCGGGAGGCAGCAGUGGGGAAUAUUGCGCAAUGGGCGAAAGCCUGACGCAGCGACGCCGCGUGGGGGAUGACGGCCUUCGGGUUGUAAACCUCUUUUACCACUCACGCAGGCAUCCGGUUUUCCGGGUGUUGACGGUAGGUGGGGAAUAAGGACCGGCUAACUAC